Molecule: non-coding RNA, 228 nt
Organism: Pseudonaja textilis
Lineage: Eukaryota; Metazoa; Chordata; Lepidosauria; Squamata; Elapidae
Source: RefSeq, a predicted model, not a curated record
CCUUUUAAUGCCAAAGUUAAUUUGUCCAUCUCUGCACAACUUGAUAUUUUUUGAAUAAUCAUUUCCUCUGAUGGAAUACGAGGUUGUUUCCAACAUUGUGCAAAGGCCAGUCUGGCCGCUAUCAAAAUAUGUACUAUUGUAUACUUCACUUUUGGGGGGAAUUGUUUAUUAAAUAUCCCUAAUAGAAAGAGUUCUGUUGCUCUAACAUCUGUAAAUUGAGAUGAAUUG